AAACUUUGCAAUGUGCGAAAGCACGACAAGGUUAAUCCGAGUGGUUUCUGCUAAAGGAACCUUUUGUUAGUCCUAAAAACACUAACGAAUAAGGGGUGGGCAAGUUCUGGUGUCAGCCGCCGCGGUAAAACCAGCACCUCAAGUGGUCAGGAUGAUUAUUGGGCCUAAAGCAUCCGUAGCCUGCUCUGUAAGUUUUCGGUUAAAUCUGUAUGCUCAACAUACAGGCCGCCGGGAAUACUGCAGAGCUAGGGAGUGGGAGAGGUAGACGGUACUCGGGAGGAAGUGGUAAAAUGCUUUGAUCUCUCGAUGACCACCUGUGGCGAAGGCGGUCUACCAGAACACGUCCGACGGUGAGGGAUGAAAGCUGGGGGAGCAAACCGGAUUAGAUACCCGGGUAGUCCCAGCUGUAAACUAUGCAAACUCAGUGAUGCAUUGGCUUGUGGCCAAUGCAGUGUUGCAGGGAAGCCGUUAAGUUUGCCGCCUGGGAAGUACGUACGCAAGUAUGAAACUUAA
This 513-nucleotide ribosomal RNA is filed under the name uncultured archaeon. Its description in RNAcentral is "bacterial SSU rRNA". It matches the Rfam family "Archaeal small subunit ribosomal RNA", at positions 345 to 859 of the family's 1478-position model. The record is from RNAcentral.